GGGUGAGUAACGCGUGGAUAACCUACCUAUAAGACUGGGAUAACUUCAGGAAACCGGAGCUAAUACCGGAUAAUAUAUUGAACCGCAUGGUUCAAUAGUGAAAGACGGUAUUGCUGUCACUUAUAGAUGGAUCCGCGCCGCAUUAGCUAGUUGGUAAGGUAACGGCUUACCAAGGCAACGAUGCGUAGCCGACCUGAGAGGGUGAUCGGCCACACUGGAACUGAGACACGGUCCAG
Molecule: ribosomal RNA, 236 nt
Filed under: uncultured Staphylococcus sp.
Lineage: Bacteria; Bacillati; Bacillota; Bacilli; Caryophanales; Staphylococcaceae
Description: partial 16S ribosomal RNA
Rfam family: Bacterial small subunit ribosomal RNA
Source: RNAcentral